CUCACCACAACAAAUCCAUCUCCUUCUUUCUACAGCCACGCCAGACUGGGAGGAGCCGAUUACAGCAGGUCCGUGCCAGCCCAACCCAUGCCACCAUGGGGGUGUGUGUGAGGCCACUAAUGCCCAACGAGGUGAUGCCUUCCUGGGGUACCACUGUCACUGCUCCCCUGGCUACUCUGGAGCCCACUGCCAACACAAUGUGAAUGAGUGUGAGAGUGGGCCGUGCUAGGAACGAGGUGUGUGACAGACCGGGAGGCCAACUACACGUGUGUGUGUCCUGGAGAAUACACAGGCAGAACUGCCAGC
This is a non-coding RNA of Salvelinus sp. IW2-2015, 306 nucleotides long. NCBI's taxonomy places the organism in Eukaryota, Metazoa, Chordata, Actinopteri, Salmoniformes, Salmonidae. The record is from RefSeq and is a predicted model, not a curated record.